GGCAUGAUGGCCAAGUGGGAAGGUGUCGGUCUUGUAAACCAAAAAUCACAGGUUCAGACCCUGUUCAUGCUU
Molecule: transfer RNA, 72 nt
Filed under: Pangasius djambal
Lineage: Eukaryota; Metazoa; Chordata; Actinopteri; Siluriformes; Pangasiidae
Description: tRNA-Thr
Rfam family: tRNA
About the family: Transfer RNA (tRNA) molecules are approximately 80 nucleotides in length. Their secondary structure includes four short double-helical elements and three loops (D, anti-codon, and T loops).
Source: RNAcentral